RNAcentral lists this ribosomal RNA (784 nucleotides) under uncultured Gammaproteobacteria bacterium. RNAcentral's name for it is "bacterial SSU rRNA". It matches the Rfam family "Bacterial small subunit ribosomal RNA", at positions 8 to 781 of the family's 1533-position model. The record is from RNAcentral. Lineage: Bacteria; Pseudomonadati; Pseudomonadota; Gammaproteobacteria.
AGGGUUUGAUCAUGGCUCAGAGUGAACGCUGGCGGUAGGCCUAACACAUGCAAGUCGAACGGCAGCACAGAGGAGCUUGCUCCUUGGGUGGCGAGUGGCGGACGGGUGAGGAAUACAUCGGAAUCUACUCUGUCGUGGGGGAUAACGUAGGGAAACUUACGCUAAUACCGCAUACGACCUACGGGUGAAAGCAGGGGAUCUUCGGACCUUGCGCGAUUGAAUGAGCCGAUGUCGGAUUAGCUAGUUGGCGGGGUAAAGGCCCACCAAGGCGACGAUCCGUAGCUGGUCUGAGAGGAUGAUCAGCCACACUGGAACUGAGACACGGUCCAGACUCCUACGGGAGGCAGCAGUGGGGAAUAUUGGACAAUGGGCGCAAGCCUGAUCCAGCCAUACCGCGUGGGUGAAGAAGGCCUUCGGGUUGUAAAGCCCUUUUGUUGGGAAAGAAAUCCAGCCGGCUAAUACCUGGUUGGGAUGACGGUACCCAAAGAAUAAGCACCGGCUAACUUCGUGCCAGCAGCCGCGGUAAUACGAAGGGUGCAAGCGUUACUCGGAAUUACUGGGCGUAAAGCGUGCGUAGGUGGUUAUUUAAGUCCGUUGUGAAAGCCCUGGGCUCAACCUGGGAACUGCAGUGGAUACUGGAUGACUAGAAUGUGGUAGAGGGUAGCGGAAUUCCUGGUGUAGCAGUGAAAUGCGUAGAGAUCAGGAGGAACAUCCAUGGCGAAGGCAGCUACCUGGACCAACAUUGACACUGAGGCACGAAAGCGUGGGGAGCAAACAGGAUUAG